RNAcentral lists this ribosomal RNA (429 nucleotides) under uncultured archaeon. Its description in RNAcentral is "bacterial SSU rRNA". It matches the Rfam family "Archaeal small subunit ribosomal RNA", at positions 474 to 903 of the family's 1478-position model. The record is from RNAcentral.
UACCAGCUCUUCGAGCGGUGUGGAUGUUUAUUGGGCCUAAAGCAUCCGUAGCUGGCUGGGCAAGUCCCCUGUUAAAUCCACCGAUUUAAUCGUUGGAGUGCGGGGGAUACUGUUCGGCUAGGGGACGGGAGAGGCAGACGGUAUUUUCGGGGUAGGGGUGAAAUCCUAUAAUCCCGGGAGGACCACCAGUGGCGAAGGCUGCCUGCUAGAACGCGCCCGACGGUGAGGGAUGAAAGCUGGGGGAGCGAACCGGAUUAGAUACCCGGGUAGUCCCAGCUGUAAACGAUGCAGGCUAGGUGUUUGGGCGGCCACGUGCCGCUCUAGUGCCGCAGGGAAGCCGUUAAGCCUGCCGCCUGGGGAGUACGGCCGCAAGGCUGAAACUUAAAGGAAUUGGCGGGGGAGCACCACAAGGGGUGAAGCUUGCGGUUU